AGAGCGAACGCUGGCGGCAGGCCUAACACAUGCAAGUCGAGCGCCCGUAGCAAUACGGGAGCGGCAGACGGGAUAGUAACACGUGGGAACGCGCCCUUCGGUUCGGAAUAACUCAGGGAAACUUGAGCUAAUACCGGAUACGCCCUUACGGGGAAAGAUUUAUUGCCGAAGGAACGGCCCGCGUCCGAUUAGCUAGUUGGUGAGGUAAUGGCUCACCAAGGCGACGAUCGGUAGCUGGUCUGAGAGGAUGACCAGCAUCACUGGGACUGAGACACGGCCCAGACUCCUACGGGAGGCAGCAGUGGGGAAUAUUGGACAAUGGGCGCAAGCCUGAUCCAGCCAUGCCGCGUGGAUGAUGAAGGCCUUCGGGUUGUAAACCCCUUUCAGCAGGGACGAAGCGAAAGUGACGGUACCUGCAGAGAAGCGCGGCUAACUACGUGCCAGCAGCCGC
This 451-nucleotide ribosomal RNA is filed under the name uncultured bacterium. RNAcentral's name for it is "SSU rRNA". It matches the Rfam family "Bacterial small subunit ribosomal RNA", at positions 26 to 518 of the family's 1533-position model. The record is from RNAcentral.